RNAcentral lists this non-coding RNA (21 nucleotides) under Caenorhabditis elegans. Lineage: Eukaryota; Metazoa; Nematoda; Chromadorea; Rhabditida; Rhabditidae. The record is from RNAcentral.
UGCAGUCACAAGAGGAUUCAC